ACUAAAUAGAUUAAGAGAAAAAUCCGGAUUACAAAAGGUCAAGAACACAAUGUCUGCGGAAAAUAAAACUUAGAUUCGAAAAUGUAAAAUACAUGCUACUUAUAGCAAAAUAUUCCGAAACCCUAAUACUCAAAACGACGCAGUAUUGGGACGGAUUAAGAACGGUACUCGACCCAGGUGGUCGAGUGAAUGGUCGAGUGAUAAGCUGGAGUCUUCUUCUCUUGCUUGUGCUCGAGUGUCUGGUUGAGUGCGGAAUGGAGAAGACUCUGAAGCUGGCAGUCGAGUAAGGACGUCGAGUGAAUGAUGAUAAGGGACUCGACCAUGUGGUAGAGUGAUUGGUCGAGUGGAUGGUGGUUGUAGUACUCGACUUGGUGGUAGAGUGAUUGGUCGAGUGAAUGAUGAUGGUGAUACUCGGCCAUGUUGGUAGAGUGAUUGGUCGAGUGAAUGAUGAUGGUGAUACUCGGCCAUGUUGGUAGAGUGAUUGGUCGAGUGAAUGAUGAUGGUGAUACUCGACCUGUUGGUAGAGUGAUAGGUCGAGUGAAUGAUGAUGGUGAAGGCAGCUACUCGACCAGGGGGUCGAGUGGUGUUGUGAAGUGGGGAAGUCGUCUACUCGACCUUGUGGUUGAGUGGUGGAUAGAAUGUCGCAGUCGAGUGAUUUGCUGUAGAGGUUGUGGCCGAGUACUUCCGGAACUUCAGGAUGACUGUACUCGAGCUCGUGGUCGAGUAUGUUGAUUUGAUCAAGUCCACUUCUUCCAAUUAGCUCACCAGCAGCUCCAAAUCAGCUCAAAACAACACA
RNAcentral lists this small RNA (796 nucleotides) under Arabidopsis thaliana (thale cress). RNAcentral describes it as "ATSL092610". The record is from RNAcentral. Lineage: Eukaryota; Viridiplantae; Streptophyta; Magnoliopsida; Brassicales; Brassicaceae.